This 232-nucleotide long non-coding RNA is filed under the name Nicotiana benthamiana. Its description in RNAcentral is "long non-coding RNA (NBEN_LNC004726)". The record is from RNAcentral. Lineage: Eukaryota; Viridiplantae; Streptophyta; Magnoliopsida; Solanales; Solanaceae.
UUUGAGUGUUAGAAAAAGUUGAAAAAAUAUUAAAACUAUCAAUGCCUUCUUCAUCAUCUACAUUAGAACUGCUACAUUGCAUAGCGGGAUUUACAUCUAUUGAAGCACGAGAAUUAUCAUAUUGAGUUGCAUAAUAAUUAUAUAGAUGUUGUAAAUAUUCAUUUAACUUGUUCAUAGAAUCAUACAAAUUUGGGCUUUCAGUGGCCCCAAUCUCCAUAUAAGUAUAUAANNN